AACGAACGCUGGCGGCAUGCCUAACACAUGCAAGUCGAACGAGACCUUCGGGUCUAGUGGCGCACGGGUGCGUAACGCGUGGGAACCUGCCCUUAGGUUCGGAAUAACUCCCCGAAAGGGGUGCUAAUACCGGAUAAUGUCUUCGGACCAAAGAUUUAUCGCCUUUGGAUGGGCCCGCGUUGGAUUAGCUAGUUGGUAGGGUAAAAGCCUACCAAGGCGACGAUCCAUAGCUGGUCUGAGAGGAUGAUCAGCCACACUGAGACUGAGACACGGCCCAGACUCCUACGGGAGGCAGCAGUGGGGAAUAUUGGACAAUGGGCGAAAGCCUGAUCCAGCAAUGCCGCGUGAGUGAUGAAGGCCUUAGGGUUGUAAAGCUCUUUUACCCGGGAUGAUAAUGACAGUACCGGGAGAAUAAGCUCCGGCUAACUCCGU
RNAcentral lists this ribosomal RNA (432 nucleotides) under uncultured bacterium. RNAcentral's name for it is "partial 16S ribosomal RNA". It matches the Rfam family "Bacterial small subunit ribosomal RNA", at positions 29 to 506 of the family's 1533-position model. The record is from RNAcentral.